GACGAACGCUGGCGGCGUGCUUAACACAUGCCAGUCGAACGGAAAGGCCCUGCUUUUGUGGGGUGCUCGAGUGGCGAACGGGUGAGUAACACGUGAGUAACCUGCCCUUGACUUUGGGAUAACUUCAGGAAACUGGGGCUAAUACCGGAUAGGAGCUCCUGCUGCAUGGUGGGGGUUGGAAAGUUUCGGCGGUUGGGGAUGGACUCGCGGCUUAUCAGCUUGUUGGUGGGGUAGUGGCUUACCAAGGCUUUGACGGGUAGCCGGCCUGAGAGGGUGACCGGCCACAUUGGGACUGAGAUACGGCCCAGACUCCUACGGGAGGCAGCAGUGGGGAAUAUUGCACAAUGGGCGGAAGCCUGAUGUAGCAACGCCGCGUGCGGGAUGACGGCCUUCGGGUUGUAAACCGCUUUCGCCUGUGACGAAGCGUGAGUGACGGUAAUGGGUAAAGAAGCACCGGCUAACUACGUG
This 468-nucleotide ribosomal RNA is filed under the name uncultured bacterium. RNAcentral's name for it is "partial 16S ribosomal RNA". It matches the Rfam family "Bacterial small subunit ribosomal RNA", at positions 28 to 507 of the family's 1533-position model. The record is from RNAcentral.